GCAAGUCGAACGGAAACGAUGGGAGCUUGCUCCCAGGCGUCGAGUGGCGGACGGGUGAGGAAUGCAUAGGAAUCUGCCCAGUAGCGGGGGACAACUCGAGGAAACUCGAGCUAAUACCGCAUACGCCCUACGGGGGAAAGUGGAGGAUCUUCGGACUUCACACUAUUGGAUGAGCCUAUGUCCGAUUAGCUUGUUGGUGGGGUAAUGGCCUACCAAGGCGACGAUCGGUAGCUGGUCUGAGAGGACGAUC
This 250-nucleotide ribosomal RNA is filed under the name uncultured bacterium. RNAcentral describes it as "partial 16S ribosomal RNA". It matches the Rfam family "Bacterial small subunit ribosomal RNA", at positions 57 to 305 of the family's 1533-position model. The record is from RNAcentral.